GCAGGUCCAGUUUGCUGAACCACAGGGGUUCUUCCAUCUACUCGAUUUUAUCGUUUGCAAGCUCAUUCCAAAGACGUCAUUCGAAUCAGCGAGUUCACUUCUCCAAGUCUAUGCUCGGCUCCGGGUCAGCUGGAAGGCGCUUCUCCAGGUCCAGGCCCGGUUCCGGGUCCGAGCGAGGCUGCUUCUCCAGGUCUAGGCUCAUCAUUUCCGGGUCCGAACGAGGCUGCUUCUCCAGAUCUAGGCUCGGUUCCUGGUCCGGGUGAGGCUGCUUCUCGAGGUCUAGGUUUGAUUCCGGGUCCAAACGUAGCCGCUUGGGCUCCCGGUCGCCUAGGUGCA
RNAcentral lists this long non-coding RNA (336 nucleotides) under Hordeum vulgare. RNAcentral describes it as "long non-coding RNA (HVUL_LNC005461)". Lineage: Eukaryota; Viridiplantae; Streptophyta; Magnoliopsida; Poales; Poaceae. The record is from RNAcentral.